Molecule: ribosomal RNA, 554 nt
Filed under: fungal endophyte
Lineage: Eukaryota; Fungi
Description: eukaryotic LSU rRNA
Rfam family: 5.8S ribosomal RNA (bases 184-337)
Source: RNAcentral
AACACGGUUCGUAGGUGAACCUGCGGAAGGAUCAUUAUCGUAGGGCUUCGGCCCUGUCGAGAUAGAACCCUUGCCUUUUUGAGUACCUUUUUCUGUUUCCUCGGCAGGCUCGCCUGCCAAUGGGGACCCAACCAAACACUUUGUAGUACCUGUAACCGUCUGAACAAACAAACAAAAAAUUAAAACUUUCAACAACGGAUCUCUUGGUUCUGGCAUCGAUGAAGAACGCAGCGAAAUGCGAUAAGUAGUGUGAAUUGCAGAAUUCAGUGAAUCAUCGAAUCUUUGAACGCACAUUGCGCCCUUUGGUAUUCCUUGGGGCAUGCCUGUUCGAGCGUCAUUUAAACCUUCAAGCUCAGCUUGGUGUUGGGUGACUGUCCGCUUCAUCGCGGACUCGCCUCAAAAUUAUUGGCGGCCGGUACAUUGGCUCUCGAGCGCAGCAGAAACGCGUAACUCGAGGUCCUAGUGCUGGCUCCCAGAAGCUAUCUUCACAAUUUUGACCUCGGAUCAGGUAGGGAUACCCGCUGAACUUAAGCAUAUCAUAACCCCGGAGGAAA